AGACCCUAUGUAGGCUGUGUUCUUACACUGACUGCAUAGAAAGAGGAGGCAGAGUAGAGCUUCCCCACAUACACCUCAGCUCAGACCUCGUGCCUGGUCUGUAUUGUGAAUGGGGGGGACAUGG
Small nucleolar RNA from Oryctolagus cuniculus (rabbit), 124 nucleotides. The record is from Ensembl. Lineage: Eukaryota; Metazoa; Chordata; Mammalia; Lagomorpha; Leporidae.